Molecule: ribosomal RNA, 253 nt
Filed under: uncultured bacterium
Lineage: Bacteria
Description: partial 16S ribosomal RNA
Rfam family: Bacterial small subunit ribosomal RNA
Source: RNAcentral
UACGUAGGGUCCGAGCGUUGUCCGGAAUUAUUGGGCGUAAAGCGCGCGCAGGCGGUCCUUUAAGUCUGAUGUGAAAGCCCUGGGCUCAACCUGGGAAUGGCAUUGGAAACUGGCGACCUAGAGUGCGGUAGAGGGCAGUGGAAUUCCCGGUGUAGCAGUGAAAUGCGUAGAGAUCGGGAGGAACAUCUGUGGCGAAGGCGACUGCCUGGACCAGCACUGACACUGAGGCACGAAAGCGUGGGGAGCAAACAGG